UACUUAGUGGCAGACGGGUGAGUAACAUGUAGGUAUCUGCCCUUUGGCCUGGAAUAACACGAGGAAACUUGUGCUAAUACCGGAUAAGUCUUUACGGAGAAAGCUUUAUGCACCAUUGGAUGAGCCUGCACUUGAUUAGUUUGUUGGUGGGGUAAUGGCCUACCAAGACUGUGAUCAAUAGCUGAUUUGAGAGGAUGAUCAGCCACAUUGGGACUGAGACACGGCCCAAACUCCUACGGGAGGCAGCAGUGGGGAAUCUUGCACAAUGGAGGAAACUCUGAUGCAGCGAUGCCGCGUGAGUGAAGAAGGCCCUUGGGUUGUAAAGCUCUUUCGUCGGGGAAGAAAAUGACUGUACCCGAAUAAGAAGGUCCGGCUAACUUCGUGCCAGCAGCCGCGGUAAUACGAAGGGACCUAGCGUAGUUCGGAAUUACUGGGCUUAAAGAGUUCGUAGGUGGUUGAAAAAGUUGGUGGUGAAAUCCCAGAGCUUAACUCUGGAACUGCCAUCAAAACUUUU
This 514-nucleotide ribosomal RNA is filed under the name uncultured Alphaproteobacteria bacterium. Its description in RNAcentral is "bacterial SSU rRNA". It matches the Rfam family "Bacterial small subunit ribosomal RNA", at positions 89 to 637 of the family's 1533-position model. The record is from RNAcentral. Lineage: Bacteria; Pseudomonadati; Pseudomonadota; Alphaproteobacteria.